Long non-coding RNA from Pieris napi, 678 nucleotides. RefSeq lists it as uncharacterized. The transcript has 2 exons. Lineage: Eukaryota; Metazoa; Arthropoda; Insecta; Lepidoptera; Pieridae. The record is from RefSeq and is a predicted model, not a curated record.
GAAAACCACAUAAACGACGAACCAGCUACACACAGAGACGCCUCCACGUCCUACGACGCACACUCCUCACAAUUAGACAUAAACUCGUCACAGUUUGACAUUAACUCCUCACAAUUUGACAUUAACUCCUCACAAUAUGACAUAAACUACGACGCGUCAGAAUUCGACGCGUCAUCGAUCGCGCCCAGCGAGGAUUUGUCUGUCUACUGUGCGAUGAUGAAGAAGCCGAAGAAAAGUAGGUCUAAGGAACAGCAUUUGAGGGAUAUUGGUAUGUGGCAAGCGACUAAUAUCGAGGUGAUGCAGAAUCUCCUAAACCGUAGCGGAUCACUGGACGAACAAAUAAAAUGGGAGGCAAUCGCCACCGCGCGUGGUUUGUGCACGCUAACAGACAAUUGUACAUGCGCCGACUGCAGUGGGGCAAAAUACAUGUCCGGGAUCAGCGAGGAUGACGGGGGCAUGGCGGCGGCACCGCUUCUCAGUGCCCUCAACAUGGGAUGUCAAAUACAAUAAGUUCACGACCUUUUCUGACCAUAGACUGUUAUAUUUCUGUAAUUUAUUUAUCAGUACCCACUGCACUGGUCUUCUUACAUUAGAAGUAUGAACCAUACGGAUUUAGAUUUCGCGGCAUGGGGUCAAAAGUCAAACGGUUAAGACUGUAUGUAACACCUAUAUAACAAA